Non-coding RNA from Vicia faba (fava bean), 281 nucleotides. Lineage: Eukaryota; Viridiplantae; Streptophyta; Magnoliopsida; Fabales; Fabaceae. The record is from the annotation of a GenBank genome assembly.
AAUUUUGUCACUGGUGCACAUGUAUCCUUAGCGAUUCUGGUGUGAUCUUCUUCAAUCAGUGGCAGUUUUCGGAUUUUGGGUUGGUUCAGUUUUUGUCUAGGUGUUUUUGCGGUUUUGUGCCUGGUGUUUUUAUCCUUAAUUCUGGUUCUAGUGUAAAACAAUUGCUAGGAUCACAUGUAAGUUGUACUUGUCUCUUGAGGCAUCCCUUAUGCCUCUGUUUUAUCUCUUUAAUAUAUAUUAUGCUUUUAGCCUUUUCAAAUAAAAAAAAGUGUUUAUUAUCC